GGGAAUAUAGCUCAGAGGCAUAGCACCUGCCUGGCAAGCAUGAGGUUAUGAGUUUGAUUCUCUGUACCA
This 69-nucleotide transfer RNA is filed under the name Cavia porcellus (domestic guinea pig). It matches the Rfam family "tRNA". Rfam says of the family: Transfer RNA (tRNA) molecules are approximately 80 nucleotides in length. The record is from Rfam by way of RNAcentral. Lineage: Eukaryota; Metazoa; Chordata; Mammalia; Rodentia; Caviidae.